UGGUCAAAUACUGUUCUUUUUCCAUAUGAUACCUAUGACUGCGCACCCCCUCAGCCAAUCCUGGGUAUGCACCUGAUACUUGUCCAAUAGAAGUGAUAGAAAAAUGAUUGAAAUAAGCUCAUUUUACAUCAAAUAAGAUGGGGAAUUCCAAGUAUUCCAGGUGACUUUUUUUAAGGUCAUUGUAAUUUGUAAACUUCCAUUUCAUGGCUUAUGGAUAGUAUGAGAAUAUAAUCACAAAAAUGUUGGAGGUGUAUUUCGGCCUCAGGAAAUUAGUUUGGAAUGCAUUAAAAACCAUUAAAACCAUGGCCCUUUUGGUUUCUCUUCACAGUGCACAUGUGCACAGUUUUUCCGCCAUGUCUAUCCAAUAUGAAUCAUGACCCAGCAUCUUUCUAUUAAAUAGUUAAUUCCCUUGUGAUGUUUUUGUUGAAUAGUUAUUGCCGAAGACAUGAGUCCUUAUCAAAGUUCUAUGCUCCACCAUCAUCAAUAUUAUUGUUAGUACUUAAAUUUUUAAAACUUAGAUAUCUCUCAAAUAAGUAAUGAGAAGCUUUCACACUUGAUGAGGUGGUUACUUUAGUGUCUUUCGCUAUAUAUUCAUUGGAGUCCCUGUGUUGUUACCAUUAUUUUUUUUUUAUUUUCUGUAAAAAAUAAUAUAAAAAAACUUGAUAAAAGAUUUGACUGCCUUUGACAUCAUCAUCAUCAUAGUUGUUUCCACAUUCCAAUGAAACACAUUAGCUUUUUACGAAGUCCAUUGUUCUGGUUUGUAUUGAGAAAACUAUUUCUAGUUGACUGUUAAAUUUUUUUUCUCAGAAUUAUGAAAACAUUUUAUACAGUGAACAAUUUAAAAUAAUAAAUGAUCAUACAAACAUAAAAUUUCAUUACUUAAACAUGACUAUACUAUGCUCUGUAUUUUGAGUGAGUUAUGGGACAUGUGUAGGUUCAAGAAGGGCCCAUGUCAGAAGGAGGUAUUUCAAGAUCAUCAUCAAUAGGUUGUUCAAUUGGAAAAAAACUCUACUUUGUUAUCAUUAUUUAGGCUUUUUUUACCUACGGUUGUCUUAACCAGGGUUCCAAACAUUUUUUUUUUAAUCUGCCAGAUUUUGCCGGCUUUGUGGAUUUUGGUGGAAAAAAGCUUGCAUACUCAAAA
Nematostella vectensis (starlet sea anemone) is the source of this 1141-nucleotide long non-coding RNA. RefSeq lists it as uncharacterized. NCBI's taxonomy places the organism in Eukaryota, Metazoa, Cnidaria, Anthozoa, Actiniaria, Edwardsiidae. The transcript is spliced from 2 exons. The record is from RefSeq and is a predicted model, not a curated record.